This 1315-nucleotide ribosomal RNA is filed under the name unidentified marine bacterioplankton. Its description in RNAcentral is "bacterial SSU rRNA". It matches the Rfam family "Bacterial small subunit ribosomal RNA", at positions 9 to 1371 of the family's 1533-position model. The record is from RNAcentral.
GAGUUUGAUCAUGGCUCAGAACGUACGCUGGCGGCACGCCUAACACAUGCAAGUCGAACGAAGUAGUAAUACUUAGUGGCAGACGGGUGACUAACAUGUAGGUAUCUGCCCUUUGGCCUGGAAUAACACGAGGAAACUUGUGCUAAUACCGGAUAAGUCUUUACGGAGAAAGCUUUAUGCACCAUUGGAUGAGCCUGCACUUGAUUAGUUUGUUGGUGGGGUAAUGGCCUACCAAGACUGUGAUCAAUAGCUGAUUUGAGAGGAUGAUCAGCCACAUUGGGACUGAGACACGGCCCAAACUCCUACGGGAGGCAGCAGUGGGGAAUCUUGCACAAUGGAGGAAACUCUGAUGCAGCGAUGCCGCGUGAGUGAAGAAGGCCUUUGGGUUGUAAAGCUCUUUCGUCGGGGAAGAAAAUGACUGUACCCGAAUAAGAAGGUCCGGCUAACUUCGUGCCAGCAGCCGCGGUAAUACGAAGGGACCUAGCGUAGUUCGGAAUUACUGGGCUUAAAGAGUUCGUAGGUGGUUGAAAAAGUUGGUGGUGAAAUCCCAGAGCUUAACUCUGGAACUGCCAUCAAAACUUUUCAGCUAGAGUAUGAUAGAGGAAAGCAGAAUUUCUAGUGUAGAGGUGAAAUUCGUAGAUAUUAGAAAGAAUACCAAUUGCGAAGGCAGCUUUCUGGAUCAUUACUGACACUGAGGAACGAAAGCAUGGGUAGCGAAGAGGAUUAGAUACCCUCGUAGUCCAUGCCGUAAACGAUGUGUGUUAGACGUUGGAAAUUUAUUUUCAGUGUCGCAGCGAAAGCGAUAAACACACCGCCUGGGGAGUACGACCGCAAGGUUAAAACUCAAAUGAAUUGACGGGGACCCGCACAAGUAGUGGAGCAUGUGGUUUAAUUCGAAGAUACGCGCAGAACCUUACCAACACUUGACAUGUUCGUCGCGACUUUAAGAGAUUAAAGUUUUCGGUUCGGCCGGACGAAACACAGGUGCUGCAUGGCUGUCGUCAGCUCGUGUCGUGAGAUGUUGGGUUAAGUCCCGCAACGAGCGCAACCCUCACUUUUAGUUGCCAUCAUUAAGUUGGGCACUCUGAAAGAACUGCCAGUGAUAAGCUGGAGGAAGGUGGGGAUGACGUCAAGUCCUCAUGGCCCUUACGUGUUGGGCUACACACGUGCUACAAUGGUAUCUACAACAGGGAGCAAAACUGCGAAGUUAAGCAAAUCCUUAAAAGAUACCUCAGUUCGGAUUGCACUCUGCAACUCGAGUGCAUGGAGCUGGAAUUACUAGUAAUCGUGGAUCAGCGUGCCACGGUGAAUGCGU